RNAcentral lists this ribosomal RNA (253 nucleotides) under uncultured bacterium. RNAcentral describes it as "partial 16S ribosomal RNA". It matches the Rfam family "Bacterial small subunit ribosomal RNA", at positions 524 to 776 of the family's 1533-position model. The record is from RNAcentral.
UACGGAGGAUCCAAGCGUUGUCCGGAUUUAUUGGGUUUAAAGGGUGCGUAGGCGGGUUAUUAAGUCAGUGGUGAAAGUUUGCAGCUUAACUGUAAAAUUGCCAUUGAAACUGAUAGUCUUGAGUUAAGUUGAGGUAAGCGGAAUGUGUCAUGUAGCGGUGAAAUGCUUAGAUAUGAUACAGAACACCGAUUGCGAAGGCAGCUUGCUAAACUUAUACUGACGCUGAGGCACGAAAGCAUGGGGAUCAAACAGG